GCAAAAUGAGAGAGACAGUUGUGAAAAUUAAUAGUUUAACUUACUUAAUUGCUAAUAUAUACUUGAUUUCUCAGGCUAGUAGCUUGGACUCUGGCUAUUCAGUUAUUGCCCCUCCCUUUCUAUCAUAUUGUUUAGAGACAACUACUGCUACGUCAUUUAAAUAAGCUAUUUCUUUAUUUGUCACACUAGGAAACUGGUGAUGUCCCUACUGAUACAGUUGAGCUGACUGAGGAAGAAAAGGUCUACCUCAAUCAACUGAGCAAAAUCAACCAGUUUUAUCAGGCAUGGAAUCUUCCCCAGUAUCUUGAGGCUUAUCAUCAACAGCACAGUGUUAGGAACCCAUGGAAUCACAUUAAGACAAAUGGCUAUCAUCUAUUU
Molecule: long non-coding RNA, 378 nt
Organism: Neofelis nebulosa (Clouded leopard)
Lineage: Eukaryota; Metazoa; Chordata; Mammalia; Carnivora; Felidae
Exons: 3
Source: RefSeq, a predicted model, not a curated record